This 288-nucleotide long non-coding RNA is filed under the name Homo sapiens (human). Its description in RNAcentral is "non-protein coding lnc-IL20RA-2:1". The record is from RNAcentral. Lineage: Eukaryota; Metazoa; Chordata; Mammalia; Primates; Hominidae.
ACGUCUGGAAGGCUGUGGUCUAAGUCCUUUUUUGCUGGCUAUAAGCGGAGCCUCCAGAACCAAAGGGAGCAUACAGCUCUUCUUAAAAUUGAAGGUGGUUAUGCCCAAGAUGAAACUGAAUUCUAUUUGGGCAAGAGAUGUGCUUGUGUAUACAAAGCAAAGAGCAACACAAUGAUUCCUGGCAGCAAACCAAACAAAAGCAGAGUAAUCUGGGGAAAGGUAACCCGGGCCCACAGGAACAGUGGCAUGGUUGCUGCCAAGUUCCAUAGCAAUCUUCCUGCUAAGGCC